UCCGGCUUGUCGCCGGCGGUCCCUUUAGAGUGCCCAACUAAAUGAUGGCAACUAAAGGCGAGGGUUGCGCUCGUUGCGGGACUUAACCCAACAUCUCACGACACGAGCUGACGACAGCCAUGCAGCACCUGUCUCGCGAUUCCCGAAGGCACCAAGGCAUUUCUGCCAAGUUCCGCGGAUGUCAAGGCCAGGUAAGGUUCUUCGCGUUGCAUCGAAUUAAUCCACAUGCUCCGCCGCUUGUGCGGGCCCCCGUCAAUUCCUUUGAGUUUCAGCCUUGCGGCCGUACUCCCCAGGCGGGGUGCUUAAUGCGUUAGCUUCGGCACGGAGGGAGUCGACACCCCCCACACCUAGCACCCAUCGUUUACGGCGUGGACUAC
This 377-nucleotide unclassified non-coding RNA is filed under the name uncultured bacterium. RNAcentral describes it as "contains 16S-23S intergenic spacer region". The record is from RNAcentral.